Molecule: ribosomal RNA, 512 nt
Filed under: uncultured bacterium
Lineage: Bacteria
Description: bacterial SSU rRNA
Rfam family: Bacterial small subunit ribosomal RNA
Source: RNAcentral
AACGAACGCUGGCGGCGUGGAUAAGACAUGCAAGUCGAACGGGAACUUUUCUGGUAGCAAUACCGGAAAAGUUCUAGUGGCGAACGGGUGCGUAACACGUGGACAAUCUGCCUUAAAGUGGGGGAUAGCUCGGCGAAAGCCGAAUUAAUACCGCAUGUGAUCAGAGACGACAUCGUCUCGAAAUCAAAGCCGGGGCAACCUGGCGCUUUUUGAGGAGUCCGCGGCCUAUCAGCAGUUGGUGAGGUAACGGCCCACCAAGGCUAUGACGGGUAGCUGGUCUGAGAGGACGACCAGUCACACUGGAACUGAGACACGGUCCAGACACCUACGGGUGGCAGCAGUCGAGAAUUUUUCUCAAUGGGGGAAACCCUGAAGGAGCGACGCCGCGUGGAGGAUGAAGGUCUUCGGGUUGUAAACUCCUGUCAUUUGGGAACAAGGCGGACGUGUUAACUGCACGUCCGUUGAUAGUACCAGAAGAGGAAGAGACGGCUAACUCUGUGCCAGCCGCCGCU